AAGAACCCCUGUCAGGGGAGUGAAAGAGAAUCUGAAACCUGGUGCUUACAAGCUGUGGGAGCCGUACUUGUACGGUGACCAUGUGCCUUUUGCAUAAUGAGUCAGCGAGUUAAUCUGUACAGCAAGGUUAAGCGUAAGUGAAGCCGCAGCGAAAGCGAGUCCGAACAGGGCCACAGUUGUGCGGAUUAGACCCGAAACCGGGUGAUCUAUCCAUGAGCAGGUUGAAGCAAGGGUAAAGCCUUGUGGAGGACCGAACCAGUUCUGGCUGAAAACAGUUUGGAUGACUUGUGGAUAGGGGUGAAAGGCCAAUCAAACCCGGUGAUAGCUGGUUCUCCCCGAAAUAUAUUGAGGUAUAGCCUUGCGGAUUGUCUUAUGGAGGUAAAGCUCUGACAGAACUAGGGGUCCUAUCCGACUACCGAAUUCUUUCAAACUCUGAAUACCAUUAAGAUUUACCGCAGGAGUCAGACGGCGGGUGCUAAGGUUCGUCGUCAAAAGGGCAACAGCCCAGACCGACAGCUAAGGCCUCCAAAUGCAUGCUCAGUGGUUAAGGUGGUGGCGUUGUGCAGACACCCAGGACGUUGGCUUAGAAGCAGCCAUCGUUUAAAGAAAGCGUAAUAGCUCACUGGUUCAAUGGCGCUGCGCCGAAAAUGUAACGGGGCUAAGCAUGCUGCCGAAGCUUCGGAUUUGUCUCUGACAACUGGUAGGGGAGCGUUCUCUGCGGGCUGAAGCGGAACCGAAAGGUUUCGUGGACUGCAGAGAAGUGAUUAUGCUGACAUGAGUAACGAUAAAAUAUGUGAAAAACAUAUUCGCCGUAAAUCCAAGGUUUCCUGGGUAAAGGUAAUCUUCCCAGGGUUAGUCGGACCCUAAGGCCAGGCUGAAAGGCGUAGCUGAUGGGAAACGGGUUAAUAAUCCUGUACUUGUGCGAUUGUGCGAAGAAGGGACGCAGGAUGGUAGACAGGCCGGUUUUUGGAAUCCGGUGCAAGUGCGUAGGCGUGCUCCGCAGGCAAAUCCGCGGGGAUGAGCCGAGACACGAGUCCGUGGGCGUAAGCCCUGAAGCUGUUGAGCCACGGCUGCCAAGAAAAGCUUCUAAGUUUAGAUCGCGCGAACCGUACCGCAAACCAACUCAGGUGGAUGGGAUGAAUAAUCCAAGGCGCUCGAGAGAACUCUGGCCAAGGAACUCGGCAAAUUGACCCCGUACCUUCGGAAUAAGGGGUGCUCCCCAUGGUGAGACAAAUACUUGUUCAGCCUCAGGGAGCCGCAGAGAAAUGGUGGUGGCGACUGUUUACUAAAAACAUAGGUCUGUGCGAAGUCCUACAGACGACGUAUACGGACUGACGCCUGCCCGGUGCCGGAAGGUUAAAAGGAGGAGUCAGCGCAAGCGAAGCUCCGAUUUGAAGCCCCGGUAAACGGCGGCCGUAACUAUAACGGUCCUAAGGUAGCGAAAUUCCUUGUCGGGCAAGUUCCGACCUGCACGAAUGGCGUAACGAUCUCCACGCUGUCUCGGCCAGAGACUCGGUGAAAUUGAAGUCGCGGUGAAAAUGCCGUGUACCCGCAGAAAGACGGAAAGACCCUGUGCACCUUUACUAUAGCUUGACAUUGGGUUUUGAACCUGCAUGUGUAGGAUAGGUGGGAGGCUGUGAAAGCUGUACGCCAGUAUGGCCGGAGCCACCCGUGAAAUACCACCCUUGUUUGUUCAGGACCCUAACUCGCAGCUGUAAUCCAGCGCGAAGACAGUGUCUGGUGGGUAGUUUGACUGGGGCGGUCGCCUCCUAAAGAGUAACGGAGGC
This 1787-nucleotide ribosomal RNA is filed under the name human gut metagenome. Its description in RNAcentral is "bacterial LSU rRNA". It matches the Rfam family "Bacterial large subunit ribosomal RNA", at positions 519 to 2307 of the family's 2925-position model. The record is from RNAcentral.